Molecule: ribosomal RNA, 504 nt
Filed under: uncultured bacterium
Lineage: Bacteria
Description: bacterial SSU rRNA
Rfam family: Bacterial small subunit ribosomal RNA
Source: RNAcentral
GAUGAACGCUAGCGGCAGGCUUAAUACAUGCAAGUCGAACGGGAUUCAGGGUAGCAAUACUUUGAUGAGAGUGGCGCACGGGUGCGUAACGCGUAUGCAACCUACCUUUAACAGGGGAAUAGCCCCGAGAAAUCGGGAUUAAUACUCCGUAACAUUGCGGGAUGGCAUCAUUCUGCAAUUAAAGAUUUAUCGGUUAAAGAUGGGCAUGCGUGACAUUAGCUUGUUGGUGAGGUAACGGCUCACCAAGGCAACGAUGUCUAGGGGUCCUGAGAGGGUUAUCCCCCACACUGGUACUGAGACACGGACCAGACUUCUACGGGAGGCAGCAGUAAGGAAUAUUGGUCAAUGGGGCGCAAGCCUGAACCAGCCAUGCCGCGUGCAGGAAGACGGCCCUAUGGGGUUGUAAACUGCUUUUUGUCAGGGAAUAAACCUGUCUACGUGUAGACAGCUGAAGGUACCUGAAGAAUAAGCAUCGGCUAACUCCGUGCCAGCAGCCGCGGUAAU